AUUGAACGCUGGCGGCGGGCUUAACACAUGCAAGUCGAGCGGGGUGAUGGUGCUUGCACUAUCACUUAGCGGCGGACGGGUGAGUAAUGCUUAGGAAUCUGCCUAUUAGUGGGGGACAACAUCUCGAAAGGGAUGCUAAUACCGCAUACGUCCUACGGGAGAAAGCAGGGGAUCACUUGUGACCUUGCGCUAAUAGAUGAGCCUAAGUCGGAUUAGCUAGUUGGUGGGGUAAAGGCCUACCAAGGCGACGAUCUGUAGCGGGUCUGAGAGGAGGAUCCGCCACACUGGGGCGGAGACACGGCCCAGACUCCUACGGGAGGCAGCAGUGGGGAAUAUUGGACAAUGGGGGGAACCCUGAUCCAGCCAUGCCGCGUGUGUGAAGAAGGCCUUAUGGUUGUAAAGCACUUUAAGCGAGGAGGAGGCUCUUUUGGUUAAUACCCAAGAUGAGUGGACGUUACUCGCAGAAUAAGCACCGGCUAACUCUGUGCCAGCCGCCGCAGUAA
RNAcentral lists this ribosomal RNA (503 nucleotides) under uncultured bacterium. RNAcentral describes it as "partial 16S ribosomal RNA". It matches the Rfam family "Bacterial small subunit ribosomal RNA", at positions 30 to 523 of the family's 1533-position model. The record is from RNAcentral.